GGCUGUUAUAUUACUAGUGAAGUUGACACACGGGAAGCUUCCUACCCAUGUUAUAUUGUGGUGCCGAGAAUAUGUUGACAAUCUAAUUCUAGUUUAGGAUGGCUCAAUCAGAUAUGCUGUUUCUACUUAUUUUGUGAAUUGGAUUCACAUUGAGAGACUAUACUUGUUGACAUUUAUAUAUAGCAUGGAAGUUUCCAUACCGUUGAUUUUGUUUGGUAACCCUUCCUGAGCUAAUUGUCAAUUACUAAUAAUCAUAGUGUAGAAAUCCAACUUGACGGCUCAACAAAUGCAUCUGAUCCAGAUCAACAGCUGAUAAAGACGAAAUUUAUACAGUCAAACAUACUGUAGAGAAGCAGUGUGAGAAAAAUAUCAAGAAAACGCUGCAACUAUAGGAACAUCCAUUUCAGCUUAUAUUCAAUUAAUUCUCAUGCAAAUUGGCAGAAUAAAACAUCAUAAGCAAUGAAAUUAAGCACUAGAAAGAUACUUCUAUUUCGAGUUGUUCUUGUUCUGGUUUUUUACAUAGCAAAUGCUUCAGACACCAUUAGCACCAAUAAAUCCCUGCAAGAUUCAGAAACUUUAGUCUCCAAUGACAAAAGAUUCAUAUUUGGGUUCUUUAGUCCAGAAAAUUCAACGAAUCGGUAUGUUGGUAUUAUGUUUAAUAUCCAAUCAUCAACUGUUGUAUGGGUAGCCAACAGAGACAACCCUUUACAAGAUUCUAGUGGAAGUGUUACAAUAUCAGAAGACGGAAAUCUUGUAAUCUUGAAUGCACAGAAGAAAAGUAUAUGGUCAUCCAAUAUUUCAACAGCUGUGAGAAAUUCUACUGCCCAGCUCUUGGAUAAUGGGAACUUAGAAUUGAAAGACAGCUCCAGUGGGAUGGUCCUCUGGGAAAGUUUCCGCGAUCCUUCAGAUUCCUUCUUGCAGUAUAUGAAAAUUGGCGUCGAUAAGAGUACUAACACAACAAAUCUGCUGAAAUCAUGGAAAAGUCCUUCGGAUCCAUCUGCUGGGAGUUUCUCAGCUGGUAUUCAACCUGAAACGGUUCCCCAGAUUUACAUAUGGAAAAAUGGGAGACUCCCUCAUUGGCGUAGCGGUCCGUGGAAUAAACAGAUUUUCAUUGGAAUACCAGACAUGACUUCUUUCUACCUCAAUGGAUUUGAUCUAGUAAAUGACAACAAGGGAACUGCAUACCUCUCCUUUUUAUACGCAAAUCAGGCUGAGAUUGCCUAUUUCACCUUGAACUCAACAGGGUUUUUGCAUCAGAAAUAUUUGGAUCCUAAGAAGAAUGAUUGGGAAGUGACAUGGGAAAGUCAGGUAAGCGAGUGCGAUUUUUAUGGAAAAUGUGGGCCUUUUGGAAGCUGUGAUCCUAGAAGCUCACCAAUCUGUUCUUGUUUAGAUGGAUUUAAGCCGAAAAGUGAAGAGGAAUGGAGGAAAGGAAAUUGGACUGGUGGAUGUCUCAGAAAGUCCAUGUUAGAGAGUGAAAGAAACAACUCUAACAUUGAGCAAGGUAAGCAAGAUUGGUUUCUGAAGCUGCAGUCAAUGAAAGUACCGGAUCUUGCUAUUUGGGUGCCUUUUGCCGAUGAAGAUUGUUAUAAGGGUUGCUUGAGGAAUAAUUCCUGCAUAGCUUAUUCAUACUACAUAGGCAUAGGAUGCAUGCAUUGGGAAGAAAUCUUACUUGAUGUUCAGAAAUUCUCCACGGGCGGGGCAGAUUUANUUUGUUCGCCUUUCGUACACUGAGCUUGGUAAUACCUUUUUCUUUUCAGAACUAUAAUAUAAGCUAGUACAAAACUCUGCUUACCCAAAACAUAUGUCUGAUGUAAGCUUAUUUCCGAAUGCAGAUCAAAAGAGAGAUAUGAAAGUAGCCAUUGGGAUCAUAGUACCAGUAGGCUCAAUAGUUCUUGCCAUUUUUGGAUACUUUUCCUGUAAAUAUUUAGCUAAGCACAGAGGUAACAAUCUAAUCUGUAACAUUAGAAAAUUUUUAGUAGCUUUAAUCAUUCAUUAUCAAUUUAUCUCUAAUGUGUUUUUGAAUCAGCAAUGAGGAAAAAGAGUGAGCUCUUAUUACGAGAAUCAUUGCCAAACUUCUACAAGGAAAGCUUGGUUACAGAUGACAUCAACCAAGCUAAAUUUGAAGAGCUACUUGUAUACAACUUUGACAUCUUAGCAAGUGCAACCGACAAUUUUCACUUGUCUAGCAAGCUUGGGCAGGGAGGUUUUGGUCCAGUUUACAAGGUAAUGUUCUCUGUCAUUGAGUCAUUUAUUAUCUUUUUCAGAAUAGAAAUUGACGGAAUAUGAUAUAACUACAGGGAAAAUUGCCAGAGGGAAAAGAAAUUGCUGUGAAAAGGCUUUCACAGUCUUCUGGUCAGGGGCUAGAGGAGUUUAUGAAUGAGGUUGUGGUGAUUUCCAAACUUCAACACCGUAAUCUUGUUAAACUCCUUGGCUGCUGCACAGAAAGAGGAGAGAAGAUGCUGGUUUAUGAAUACAUGCCAAAAAGAAGCUUAGAUGCAUAUCUCUUCGGUUAGUUGAUUACCAUUACUUUUCUUUUAUAUCUCAUAGGUCUAGCUAAAAAGGAAAUUGUUUGUAAUAUUCUCAAACUUGUAUAUUUUUUAAUGUACUUACAGGUUCAAACCCUGAAGAGAAAGAGUUCCUUGAUUGGAGUAAACGUGUUAUCAUCAUUGAGGGAAUUGGUCGAGGCCUUCUUUACCUUCACAGAGAUUCAAGAUUAAAGAUUAUUCACAGGGAUUUGAAAGCAAGCAACAUUUUGUUGGAUGAACAACUGAACCCGAAAAUUUCAGAUUUUGGCAUGGCAAGGAUUUUUCCAGGCAACCAAGAUCAGGCCAACACAGAGAGAGUUGUUGGUACCUAGUAAGUUCGUGUAUCUUUGUCUUUAUCUUUCAUGAUUGCAAAGAAUAUACAAAGUAAACAUUCAAAAUUAUAACAUGAUGCAGUGGUUACAUGGCACCUGAAUACGCAAUGGAAGGAAGAUUCUCAGAAAAAUCAGAUGUUUACAGUUUCGGAGUUUUGUUACUGGAAAUUAUUAGUGGAAGGAGGAAUACUAGCUUUCACCAAGAUGACUGUGCCUUAAGCCUUCUAGCAUGUGUAAGUUCAUAUGAAAAUUAAGCUACUACUACUUUUUAUGAAAUGUCAACUUUUCAUAAUUCAAGUUUCCAUUGUGUUGUAAAAUGCGCUUGCUCUUCAGGCAUGGAAGUGUUGGAACGAAAAUAACAUUGUCGAAUUGGUUGACCCCAAGAUAAUAGACAUGCAGUUUGAAAGGGAAAUUCUGAGGUGUGCACAUGUUGGACUAUUAUGUGUUCAAGAAUAUGCAGAAGAUAGACCAAAUGUUUCGGUGGUUCUGUCUAUGCUCACUAGUGAAAUUUCUGAUUUGCCAAGUCCUAAACAACCUGCAUUUACAACAAGACCGAGCUGUUCCAAGAAGGAAUCUUCUAAAACUCAAGGCUCUGUGAACACAGUUAGCAUUACUAUUAUGGAAGGACGUUAAAACAACAACAACAACAACAACAAAAGUAAAAACCCCACUAGUGGGGGUCUGGAGAGGUAGAGUGUACGCAGACCUUACCUCUACCCCGGAGGGGGUAGAGAGGCUGUUUCCGGAAAACCCUCGGCUCAGAGACAAAAGAUCCGUAACAACGGAAACUAGACAAAUAACAACAACGAUAAAACAUUUUAACAUUUUAAGUUGGACAUGUAUUUUAUUCCUUCCCCUGUAAUUAGGGAUGUAUCUGAUUCUUUCCUGUAAUUAUUACUGCCUCUGAUUUAUUUGGUAAUCAUUCCACUCAAUAUGAUCUCAAUACAUUAAGAAUUCAAGAGAAAAGAGUAAACUGUGCAAGUCACUCAUGCAGUGGGUGUUUAAUCAUAAAUUCAGCACUAAGAACAUCAGAUUAAUAAAUUGUUUUAGUUCUUCACCCUCCACAAACACACACACAUAACGCACAGAGAGAAAGCAAUGCUAUUGUUUGAUGAUAGAAUCCAUAUCCAAGCAAGAAGAUAGCAAAGACUUCAAACUCAAAGUUGUUAAGCAGUAGCCUAAAAAGAUGUGUUUCCUGAAAUUAGAGAAGUUCAUCUACUACUAGAUUUGGAGUUACCUUUCUUUCAUGGGGAAAAUGACUUCCAUUACAGCUAUCUUAACGUUUAAUUAUAAUAUCAAUUGUUCCAGUCAACACUUAAAAACAUUAUUAUCAAUCUUUACCACUGAUAAUUUUUUAAUCAAAACUGUAUCUUAUUUGCUAAUAUUACUAUUAUUAAUGUUCAAAAGUGGCCACAUUAAAAGUAAGAGAAAAAUACUGACCUUUGGUCUUUCUCGGGAAAAAAAGCAUUUGUUCGUAUAGUUCAGCUUCUUAUGUCCGAUACUAAUUACCGCCGCAUCCAACUGAAAUAUAUAUAGCGUGGCUGGUCAGGAUCUGAAACCUCUGCAUUUUAAUCUCCUCAUUCAGGUUUUGAUUUUGACAUCUCGAGAGUAAAUUAUAAAUCUGCUUUCAUUAUUUUAACCAACUCAGCCACUGCUCAUAUUAGAUAAUUUUGCAAUCGAAUGGAUAGUAUAAUACGGGCAAAUGCCCAUAUGAGGCCCAUCAAUACCAAAGCUCCGAAUCU
RNAcentral lists this long non-coding RNA (4599 nucleotides) under Nicotiana tabacum (common tobacco). RNAcentral's name for it is "long non-coding RNA (NTAB_LNC012090)". The record is from RNAcentral. Lineage: Eukaryota; Viridiplantae; Streptophyta; Magnoliopsida; Solanales; Solanaceae.